RNAcentral lists this long non-coding RNA (1086 nucleotides) under Numida meleagris (helmeted guineafowl). RNAcentral's name for it is "lncRNA (ENSNMEG00000019413.1)". The record is from RNAcentral. Lineage: Eukaryota; Metazoa; Chordata; Aves; Galliformes; Numididae.
UCAGAGCAGCCCUCGUAGAUCUUCACAGACCUUAGCACAUGCAGAAAGGGCCCUGGUCCCAGCAGGCUGCAAACCAAACUCUCCUCUUUGGUCUGAAUGCUUUUAGUGCCACUUGAAUUGUGGAAAUAACCCUAGAGGACAGAUAUCACUCAUUAAAGGUGUACAGUUAAUGAUCUAGAGCUGCUAAAAAGAAAAAAAAAAAUGUAUUUCCACAAUCUGUAUGUUUCCACACUAUGCUAGUAUUCCCCAAGCAAACCUAAGGCCUUUGUUGUGUAUCUUCUGAGAUGAACCUGAUUUCCUCCACUUCUCUCUUUGCCACCUCUCUCCUCUUUCACAGGACUGUGGCUUCACCUGCCUGGGAGAGAUUUUCCCUACAGUGUCUCAGCCUGGGAAAGCCCUUUUCUCUGGUGGAAGCUCAGCCUCACAGCUGGGACCAGCAGCUGAGGGGAAGGUUUAAUGAGCGUCUGUGGCAGUGAAUAAAGGCUGACUUGAUUAGAAAUGAGACUGCGUUGGAUCCGACCACAACCAUUACAAAAAAACAUAUUUCCUAGACAGUAUCUACCUCAACAUCCAAAUACUACAAAAUAGCAUUAAGAAGAUUCAAAAUAUUGUCUGGAAGAGCAGGUGACACAGCAGGUCAUUUGGUAGCAAUAUCCAUGUGCACUGAGAAGGUCCAAAGAACCACUUUCCUCUAAAGGACAGUGGGAUAGACUGGCAGCGGCGAGGAAAACUUUCUUACUGGAACUAGGAAUGCGUAUGCGACUUUCAUUCUCCAGAACAAACCUCAAGUCUUACAACAAAUGUGACUGACAACCAAACUUUGCGUCUUUAACAUAUGUGUUGAAUCAUUACAAUUAAAUGAGUUGCAAAUAAGAAGUAAUACAAAGAAGCUGAGAAGGAGAGACUUCAAGUUAACCAGGUCAACAAUAUAUCUACUGCUGAUUUUUCGAAAUUAACUGAUCUUAACAGAUGAUAAACAAGGGCAGACAGAACAGAGAAAGACACAGAACAGAGAAAACAGUUUGUGGAAGGAGAAAUGAUAAUGUGUCCACCACAAAUGAAUAAACUGAUACUAUAUAUGGUACA